UUCGGUGUUCUUCAUCUCAUCCGCUUGAGCGGAUGGGGCGAAUGAAGAACACCGCGUCCUGCGCAACGGUCAUGCGUAAUAGUGCAGGUGUCCUGCACAGUUGCGCAUGACGUCUUGCCCGACGCCGCCCUACACCGGUUCGCCUCGUCAACUUUCGCUUCUGGCAAAAGUUGAUUCGGCGUUCUUCCCCGGCUGGAGCGUGCCAUCCGCUGUGUGGUACCUCUCCUCUGCAAACUGUUGGUGUCGCCAGGGCCACGUGCUGC
This is a long non-coding RNA of Rhipicephalus sanguineus (brown dog tick), 263 nucleotides long. RefSeq lists it as uncharacterized. The transcript is spliced from 3 exons. The record is from RefSeq and is a predicted model, not a curated record. Lineage: Eukaryota; Metazoa; Arthropoda; Arachnida; Ixodida; Ixodidae.